ACGAUGAUUGCUAUAAUUGCAGGCUGUUUUUCUCUUCAAGUCCGAGUCAACAUCACUUCAGAUAUUCCACAUCGGAAACUUGCAUAUAAAAUUAAUAUUAUUUUAUUCGAAAGAAGAAAUUGCCAGAUACGAUCUUAUUUGAACAGGAUCUGUUCUAUAGGUUGUACGUCUGUAUCCUCGAACCGUAGUUUGGUGGAUGAACCACUGCCUUGUUGGCUGGGGCGUGAUUAAUGGUUCAACGGAUACUUCGUCUAGCGGCUGUAGAUGAUCGUUUUCCAGUGGGUUGGUCACAAGGCGAUCUGACAAACUUUAAAAUAUUUUUCUUUUGCCUCUUUCUCAUGGAUUGCUAAGUUUGUCUGCUGCCUUGUUGCUGCUUUGUCGUUGUUUUGUUUUUGUGACUGAGAUUUUGGAUGGAUUUAUGAUAUCAUCUCUCUUUCACUCAAAUUCACCAUUCAUUAUGCGUGUAUUCACUAGAUGUGAGUUAUGAGCAACGUGGAUGUUCUAUUUAUGCUCAUAAACUGUUUGAUGAAAUGCCUCACACAGCCCUGUUGUUGCAACUCAAGAAGGUUUGUUUGUUUUAUUGCUUCUGCUGCAAUAUGUUUCUAAUUUAACCAUAUUCAAACAUGUUGUGGCUUGCCCCCAAAUAAAAUGUGCUGAAAAUUCAUCUUCCAAAAGCUUAAAACCAAACUAACAAUCAACUCCCAUUAAGGUUGACACCUGAAAUUUCCCUUUUAAAUUGUUAUGUCUCACUCUCAUUUAUGCUUGGGCUUUGUUUCUACAUAUUCUGCUGCUGCUCUGAAACUGGGGAAGUACCCAUUCCCUUGGUCUAUCGCUUGAAAAGCAUCCCAGAAAACCAGAGAUAGAGGGUCAUGGAAAACUUGGAUUUUCAUUUAUGCUUCUUAACUGUUUGCCUGAAAUGCUUCAGAAGAGCCCUGUUGGUGAAAAAAACUUUAAAUAAAUGAAAAACCAAGUUGUUUGAAAAUCCCACAUUGCUAGUUUUAUAACUUUGAGUCUCCUUUAUAAACCUCCACUUUUAGUUGUGGGUUUGGCCCCAAGAGGCACCCAUGUUUUAGAGAGAGUGAGAAGAUAGACAAAGGUGGGUUUGGUGGACAUUCCACACAUAUCGUCAACGCAUCAGUUUCAGUGUAGCUCUGAUCAAGUUAGAUUUAUUUUUCUAUGCUGUUUUAUCCAGCGAGCUCCGCGAUUCAGCCUGUAACAAGUUUUUGGUACUUGUUCCAACAAUUUUAAGACGAUUUUCCAUUUGCCACUGUUGUGGUGACCCUUUCUCAGAAUGACAUUAUGUCCUCCGACUUUAACCAUCCGUUUCGAUUCGAAGGAUCAAACUUCAAAUGUUGGAAGCAGAAGAUGCUAUUCUUCCUCACCAUCAAGAAGGUUGUUGAUGUCUGCGCCACAGCGAAGCCAACUGUCCCAAUGGAAGAUCCGACUGAACAACAGAUUAGAGAUGCAGCUGAUUGGGAAGAAAAAGAUUUUCUAUCCAAACAUUUUAUUUUAAACUGUUUGACUGACGAUUUGUAUGAUUAUUACGGUACAAUGAAGACAACAAAAGAAGUAUGAGAUACUCUGCAAAAAGAAUACGAUUCCAAGGAGGCCGACUCGGAAAAAUAUGUCGUCAGCCAUUACUUGAAGUUCCAAAUGACGGAUGACAUGUCUGUAGAGGCCCAAUCCCCUGAAUUGUAGAAGAUAAUCCACGAAAUUAUAAGCGAAGGUAUGCCUCUGAAUGAGCAAUUUCAAAUUGUUGUCAUUAUUAACAAAUUGCCUCCAUUGUGGAAGGACUUUAAGAAUACCUUAAGGCAUAAGACCAAGGAGUUCUCGUUGGAAAGUUUGAUCACCUGCUUGAGGAUCAAGGAGGAAACUUGGAAAUAGGACCAGAGGGAAGAGAUAAACACCGUACCGAGAAAGCCCUCCUCAACUAUUGUGAAACUUGACCAAAAGCAAAAAGGAACCAAGAGGAAAGGUUGGAAUCGUGGAUCCAGUACAACCAGAACAACUAGAAGAAACAUAACCCCCUAGAGAAACGAUACAGUUCCUCUGCUUUAACUAUAACAAACCUAGGCAUAUGACUAAGAACUGUAGGAACAGACGACAUCCUGCUGAGUAGGCGAACUUGACAAAGGAGCCCUUAGUAGCCAUGAUCACAAAAGUAAAUGUGAUCGGUGGCUCUGAUGGGUGGUGGAUAGAUACUGGUGUUAUGCGCCAUGUCUGUCAUGACCUAAGUCUCUUUAAAUCUUAUACUGACACUAAGGAUAAAAAUAUACUGUCGGAGGAUCACUGCUCAAUGAAAGUUAUUGGAAUCGGUGAGGUGGAGCUGAAGUUUACUGUCGGGAAGACUCUCACUUUGAAGGAUGUCCUGCACACUUUGGAGAUAAGAAAGAAUUUGGCCUCGAGCUAUUUCCUCAACAAAGUCGGCUUCACUUAGACAAUAGAGGCAUAUUUAUAUACCUCCACUAAGAAUACUGUAUUUGUAGGGAAGGGUUAUGUAGCUGAAGGCAUGUUUAAAUUAAACCUAGACUUAAAUAAAAUGAAAUCUUCUGUUUA
This is a long non-coding RNA of Benincasa hispida (wax gourd), 2556 nucleotides long. RefSeq lists it as uncharacterized. The record is from RefSeq and is a predicted model, not a curated record. Lineage: Eukaryota; Viridiplantae; Streptophyta; Magnoliopsida; Cucurbitales; Cucurbitaceae.